Molecule: ribosomal RNA, 253 nt
Filed under: uncultured bacterium
Lineage: Bacteria
Description: partial 16S ribosomal RNA
Rfam family: Bacterial small subunit ribosomal RNA
Source: RNAcentral
UACGUAGGGGGCAAGCGUUGUCCGGAAUUAUUGGGCGUAAAGAGCGUGUAGGCGGUCCGGUAAGUCGGCUGUGAAAGUCCAGGGCUCAACCCUGGGAUGCCGGUCGAUACUGCCGGACUAGAGUUCGGAAGAGGCGAGUGGAAUUCCCGGUGUAGCGGUGAAAUGCGCAGAUAUCGGGAGGAACGCUUAUGGCGAAGGCAGCUCGCUGGGACGUUACUGACGCUGAGGCGCGAAAGCGUGGGGAGCGAACAGG